UACGUAGGGUGCGAGCGUUGUCCGGAAUUAUUGGGCGUAAAGAGCUCGUAGGCGGCUUGUCGCGUCGGCUGUGAAAACCCGAGGCUCAACCUCGGGCCUGCAGUCGAUACGGGCAAACUAGAGUACUGCAGGGGAGACUGGAAUUCCUGGUGUAGCGGUGAAAUGCGCAGAUAUCAGGAGGAACACCGGUGGCGAAGGCGGGUCUCUGGGCAGUAACUGACGCUGAGGAGCGAAAGCGUGGGGAGCGAACAGG
RNAcentral lists this ribosomal RNA (253 nucleotides) under uncultured bacterium. RNAcentral's name for it is "partial 16S ribosomal RNA". It matches the Rfam family "Bacterial small subunit ribosomal RNA", at positions 524 to 776 of the family's 1533-position model. The record is from RNAcentral.